RNAcentral lists this ribosomal RNA (497 nucleotides) under uncultured bacterium. RNAcentral describes it as "partial 16S ribosomal RNA". It matches the Rfam family "Bacterial small subunit ribosomal RNA", at positions 28 to 523 of the family's 1533-position model. The record is from RNAcentral.
GAUGAACGCUGGCGGCGUGCUUAACACAUGCAAGUCGAACGAAGCACUCUACUUGAUCUUUUCGGAGUGAUUGUUUUGUGACUGAGUGGCGGACGGGUGAGUAACGCGUGGGUAACCUGCCUCACACAGGGGGAUAACAGUUGGAAACGGCUGCUAAUACCGCAUAAGCGCACAGUACCGCAUGGUACGGUGUGAAAAACUCCGGUGGUGUGAGAUGGACCCGCGUCUGAUUAGCUAGUUGGCAGGGCAGCGGCCUACCAAGGCGACGAUCAGUAGCCGACCUGAGAGGGUGACCGGCCACAUUGGGACUGAGACACGGCCCAAACUCCUACGGGAGGCGGCAGUGGGGAAUAUUGCACAAUGGGGGAAACCCUGAUGCAGCGACGCCGCGUGAGCGAAGAAGUAUUUCGGUAUGUAAAGCUCUAUCAGCAGGGAAGAAGAAAUGACGGUACCUGACUAAGAAGCACCGGCUAAAUACGUGCCAGCCGCCGCCGUAA